GUAGAUUCUUUACCAUCUGAGCCACCAGGGAAGCCCUCAGGGGAAGAUAAAGGUGGGAUGAACUGAGAGAGUAGCACAGACAUAUAUAUAUACUGCUGCUGCUAAGUUACUUCAGUCGUGUCCGACUCUGUGCGACCCCAUAGAUGGCAGCCCAUCAGGCUCCGCCAUCCCUGGGAUUCUCCAGGCAAGAACACUGGAGUGGGUUGCCAUUUCCUUCUCCAGUGCAUGAAAGUGAAAAGUGAAAGUGAAGUUGCUCAGUCAUGUCCGACUCUAGCGACCCCAUGGAGUGCAGCCUACCAGGCUUCUCCGUCCAUGGGAUUUUCCAGGAAGCAGCCACCAUCACAGGUGAGAGGACCACAGGAAAGAAGUGGUGUCACUGGAGGCUGUGCAGUCACAGGAAUGCUCCCCAGGAUGUAGAUGUGCCAACAGCCAAGGCUAGAACCCUCAGCUGGAGCCUUGUGA
Bos taurus (domestic cattle) is the source of this 462-nucleotide long non-coding RNA. The record is from Ensembl. NCBI's taxonomy places the organism in Eukaryota, Metazoa, Chordata, Mammalia, Artiodactyla, Bovidae.